GACAGAGGGUGCAAACGUUGUUCGGAAUUACUGGGCGUAGAGCGUGUGUAGGCGGCCGCGCAAGUCGGAUGUGGAAGCCCUGGGCUCAACCCAGGAAGUGCACCCGAUACUGCAUGGCUCGAGUACUGGAGAGGUUGGUGGAAUUCUCGGUGUAGAGGUGAAAUUCGUAGAUAUCGAGAGGAACACCGGUGGCGAAGGCGGCCAACUGGACAGAUACUGACGCUGAGACACGAAAGCGUGGGGAGCAAACAGG
This 253-nucleotide ribosomal RNA is filed under the name uncultured bacterium. RNAcentral's name for it is "partial 16S ribosomal RNA". It matches the Rfam family "Bacterial small subunit ribosomal RNA", at positions 524 to 776 of the family's 1533-position model. The record is from RNAcentral.